This 254-nucleotide ribosomal RNA is filed under the name uncultured bacterium. Its description in RNAcentral is "partial 16S ribosomal RNA". It matches the Rfam family "Bacterial small subunit ribosomal RNA", at positions 524 to 776 of the family's 1533-position model. The record is from RNAcentral.
UACGGGGGGAGCAAGCGUUGUUCGGAUUUACUGGGCGUAAAGGGCGCGUAGGCGGCCACCGCAAGUCAGUUGUGGAAUCUCUGGGCUUAACCCAGAAAGGUCAACUGAUACUGCGGGGCUAGAGUGCAGAAGGGGCAACUGGAAUUCUCGGUGUAGCGGUGAAAUGCGUAGAUAUCGAGAGGAACACCUGCGGCGAAGGCGGGUUGCUGGGCUGACACUGACGCUGAGGCGCGAAAGCUAGGGGAGCGAACGGG